This 68-nucleotide transfer RNA is filed under the name Camelus bactrianus (Bactrian camel). It matches the Rfam family "tRNA". From Rfam's summary of the family: Transfer RNA (tRNA) molecules are approximately 80 nucleotides in length. Their secondary structure includes four short double-helical elements and three loops (D, anti-codon, and T loops). RNAcentral also lists the same sequence under 2 other names. Lineage: Eukaryota; Metazoa; Chordata; Mammalia; Artiodactyla; Camelidae. The record is from Rfam by way of RNAcentral.
UGGGGAAUAGCUCAAUGGUAGAGUGCAUGCUGUGCAUGAGGUCCUGGGUUCAAUCCCCAGUACCUCCA